UGGGUCCAGGGUAGUUUGGACGUCUUUUUAGCCAGCAAUCUUCAUGAUGUAUUAUUGUCUAUCUUCCCUCCACCUUUUGUUCCUUUUUUUUUUUUUUUUUGGUAGAUCUCACUGAUGGGCCUGAGUUAAUCCUGUACCACCACCACCACCACCAUCAUCAUCAUUUCUCUCCCUUGAAGCCCUCUGUGGAACAAGACACAUCUCAAAGCUUCUGGCUGUUUCUUCUGCAUCUCAGAACUAAUUUCAGAAAUCACUGGUGCACCAAGUUCACCAAAUCUCUGGGGAGAGGAGACGCCAACCUGAGGAGCAACGUUGGUUGUAAAGCACACCUCUGGACCAAGUCUUCACUGGAGGAGUACCAUAGUUGAAGAGCACAUGACCUCAUCAGCUCCAGAUUUCUCUUUUAGAUGUCAAAGAUGAGUCCUUUCAUGGAAAGAGGGAAAACAGGAAGAGAGACAAUGAGAAGCAAAGAGAAACGUCCAAUCCUGUUUGGGGCAAAUCAGUUCAUACUGUCUGGAAUAUCCAGGUGGAUU
This 533-nucleotide long non-coding RNA is filed under the name Bos indicus x Bos taurus (hybrid cattle). RNAcentral's name for it is "lncRNA (ENSBIXG00000007883.1)". The record is from RNAcentral. Lineage: Eukaryota; Metazoa; Chordata; Mammalia; Artiodactyla; Bovidae.